ACGGGGUGCAGCAGGCGAGAAAAACCCUUAGCAAAAUGUGCGAAAGCACGACUGGGUCAGUCCGAGUGAUUCCUGAUAAAGGAGUCUUUUGCUUGUCCUAAAAGCACAGGUGAAUAAGGGGUGGGCAAGUCUGGUGUCAGCCGCCGCGGUAAUACCAGCACCCUCGAGUGGUCAGGACGUUUAUUGGGCCUAAAGCAUCCGUAGCCGGCUUUGCAAGUCUUCGGUUAAAUCCACCUGCUCAACAGAUGGGCUGCUGGAGAUACUACAAAGCUAGGGAGUGGGAGAGGCAGACGGUAUUCAGUGGGUAGGGGUAAAAUCCUCUGAUCCAUUGAGGACCACCAGUGGCGAAGGCGGUCUGCCAGAACACGUUCGACGGUGAGGGAUGAAAGCUGGGGGAGCAAACCGGAUUAGAUACCCGGGUAGUCCCAGCUGUAAACGAUGCAAACUCGGUGAUGCAUUGGCUUAUGGCCAAUGCAGUGCCGCAGGGAAGCCGUUAAGUUUGCCGCCUGGGAAGUACGGACGCAAGUCUGAAACUUAA
This 538-nucleotide ribosomal RNA is filed under the name uncultured archaeon. RNAcentral describes it as "bacterial SSU rRNA". It matches the Rfam family "Archaeal small subunit ribosomal RNA", at positions 325 to 859 of the family's 1478-position model. The record is from RNAcentral.